CCUACGGGAGGCUGCAGUGGGGAAUAUUGGACAAUGGGGGGAACCCUGAUCCAGCGACGCCGCGUGAGUGAAGAAGUAUUUCGGUAUGUAAAGCUCUAUCAGCAGGGAAGAAAGAAAUGACGGUACCUGACUAAGAAGCCCCGGCUAACUACGUGCCAGCAGCCGCGGUAAUACGUAGGGGGCAAGCGUUAUCCGGAUUUACUGGGUGUAAAGGGAGCGUAGACGGCGAUGCAAGUCUGAAGUGAAAGGCGGGGGCGCAACCCCUGGACUGCUUUGGAAACUGUAUGGCUUGAGUGCAGGAGAGGUAAGUGGAAUUCCUAGUGUAGCGGUGAAAUGCGUAGAUAUUAGGAGGAACACCAGUGGAGAAGGCGGCUUACUGGACUGUAACUGACGUUGAGGCUCGAAAGCGUGGGGAGCAAACAGGAUUAGAUACCCUAGUAGUC
Molecule: ribosomal RNA, 443 nt
Filed under: uncultured bacterium
Lineage: Bacteria
Description: partial 16S ribosomal RNA
Rfam family: Bacterial small subunit ribosomal RNA
Source: RNAcentral